GCUCAGAACGAACGCUGGCGGCAGGCUUAACACAUGCAAGUCGAGCGCCCCGCAAGGGGAGCGGCAGACGGGUGAGUAACGCGUGGGAAUCUACCCAUCCCUACGGAACAACUCCGGGAAACUGGAGCUAAUACCGUAUACGYCCUUCGGGGGAAAGAUUUAUCGGKSAWGGAUGAGCCCGCGUUGGAUUAGCUAGUUGGUGGGGUAAAGGCCUACCAAGGCGACGAUCCAUAGCUGGUCUGAGAGGAUGAUCAGCCACAUUGGGACUGAGACACGGCCCAAACUCCUACGGGAGGCAGCAGUGGGGAAUAUUGGACAAUGGGCGCAAGCCUGAUCCAGCCAUGCCGCGUGAGUGAUGAAGGUCUUAGGRUUGUAAAGCUCUUUCACCGGAGAAGAUAAU
RNAcentral lists this ribosomal RNA (400 nucleotides) under Rhizobium sp. R-45889=2430. RNAcentral describes it as "bacterial SSU rRNA". It matches the Rfam family "Bacterial small subunit ribosomal RNA", at positions 22 to 452 of the family's 1533-position model. Lineage: Bacteria; Pseudomonadati; Pseudomonadota; Alphaproteobacteria; Hyphomicrobiales; Rhizobiaceae. The record is from RNAcentral.